GGUCAUUACUGAACCGUCGACACGAGUUGUUGCUGGUCCCCAAAAGGGGGCAUGUGCACGCUCUGUCUACACAUCCACUCACACCUGUGCACCCUCUGUAGUUCUAUGGCCUUGUGGACUCUGUCCUCUUGCCGUGGUCCUGCAUCUUUACACACACACCGUAAUACAGUCUUAUGGAAUGCAUGUCGCGUUUAACGCAAUACAAUACAACUUUCAGCAACGGAUCUCUUGGCUCUCGCAUCGAUGAAGAACGCAGCGAAAUGCGAUAAGUAAUGUGAAUUGCAGAAUUCAGUGAAUCAUCGAAUCUUUGAACGCACCUUGCGCCCUUUGGCUAUUCCGAAGGGCAUGCCUGUUUGAGUAUCAUGAACACCUCAACUCUCAUGGUCUGCCGUGAUGAGCUUGGACUUUGGGGGUUUUGCCGGCUUAACUGUCGGCUCCUCUCAAAUGGAUCAGCUUGCCAGUGUUUGGUGGCAUCACAGGUGUGAUAACUAUCUACGCUUGUGCUCUUCCACCAGGUAACCUCCAGCAAUGGAGGUUCGCUGGAGCUCACAGACGUCUCUCCCCAGGGAGGACAGCUUUUGAACGUUUGAUCUCAAAUCAGGUAGGACUACCCGCUGAACUUAA
Molecule: ribosomal RNA, 624 nt
Filed under: uncultured Tomentella
Lineage: Eukaryota; Fungi; Basidiomycota; Agaricomycetes; Thelephorales; Thelephoraceae
Description: eukaryotic LSU rRNA
Rfam family: 5.8S ribosomal RNA (bases 209-363)
Source: RNAcentral